RNAcentral lists this long non-coding RNA (347 nucleotides) under Mytilus galloprovincialis (Mediterranean mussel). Lineage: Eukaryota; Metazoa; Mollusca; Bivalvia; Mytilida; Mytilidae. The record is from RNAcentral.
CAGAUUUGUUUCAAUUAAUAUAAAAAGAAGAUGUGGUAUGAUUGCCAAUGAGACAACUCUCUAUAAGAGACCAAAUCUCACAUAAAUUAACAUCAUAAGUCACCGUACGGCCUACAACAAUUAGCAAAGCCCGUACCACAUAGUCAGCUAUAAAAGGCCCCGAAAAGACAAAUGUUAAACAAAUCAAGCGAGAAAACUUACGGUCUAAUUUAUGUACAAAACAUUAACGAAUAACAAAUUUGUCACACAUCAACAAACGACAACCACUGAAAUACAGGCUCCUGACUUGGGACAGACACAUACAUACAUAAUGUUGCAGGGGUGAACAUGUCAGCGGGAUCACAACC